RNAcentral lists this microRNA precursor (66 nucleotides) under Sorex araneus (European shrew). RNAcentral describes it as "miRNA (ENSSARG00000017697.1)". The record is from RNAcentral. Lineage: Eukaryota; Metazoa; Chordata; Mammalia; Eulipotyphla; Soricidae.
GUGAGGAAAUGAGGGGCGGGAGGGGUCAGGAGAGGGUGGCCGCUUGCGGCGCGGGCGGCGCGGUGG